AUACGUAGGGUGCGAGCGUUGUCCGGAAUUACUGGGCGUAAAGAGCUCGUAGGUGGUUUGUCGCGUCGUCUGUGAAAUUCCGGGGCUUAACUCCGGGCGUGCAGGCGAUACGGGCAUAACUUGAGUACUGUAGGGGAGACUGGAAUUCCUGGUGUAGCGGUGAAAUGCGCAGAUAUCAGGAGGAACACCGGUGGCGAAGGGGGGUCUCUGGGCAGUAACGGACGCUGAGGAGGGAAAGCAUGGGUAGCGAACAGGAUUAGAUACCCUGGUAGUCCAUGCCGUAAACGGUGGGCGCUAGGUGUAGGGGUCUUCCACGACUUCUGUGCCGUAGCUAACGCAUUAAGCGCCCCGCCUGGGGAGUACGGCCGCAAGGCUAAAACUCAAAGGAAUUGACGGGG
This 398-nucleotide ribosomal RNA is filed under the name uncultured bacterium. Its description in RNAcentral is "partial 16S ribosomal RNA". It matches the Rfam family "Bacterial small subunit ribosomal RNA", at positions 523 to 918 of the family's 1533-position model. The record is from RNAcentral.